GUGAAUCUAGCGUGUCUUCGGAGCGCGAACUCUCACUUUACACACUGUGCACUUUAUUCAGCGGAUGACGAGGCUUUCGAGUCGAGUCUCUGCGCUCACAUUUAAACACGAGUUGAUGUAUGUCAAUAUAUUAAAACAAAGAA
RNAcentral lists this unclassified non-coding RNA (143 nucleotides) under Microbotryomycetes sp. NB124-2. Its description in RNAcentral is "internal transcribed spacer 1". Lineage: Eukaryota; Fungi; Basidiomycota; Microbotryomycetes. The record is from RNAcentral. RNAcentral also lists the same sequence under 1 other name.